CAACUGCUCUCCUCUCAGGGCCUAGCAUUUGUCUCCAUCUGUUCGGUAUGCGAAACUAGGGAGACAGGGAAAAGACCCACCUGACUCUAGCCAAGUGAGAAAGCCAGCUAAGACACACAGCCUGUGGUUUUAUUCGCCUGACUCAUGAAACUGGACCCUUGUUCUGAAUGGAAACAGGCUGCCUGUCAGGUAGACGGUUAACAACUCGGUAAAUACCUUUAUCGUCUGGAUUUAAACAUACUUCUCUUCACCGCGAGCCUGUUCUUCCUGGUGGAUUGAGAUUUGGUAGAAGAAGGAACCAAGCUGAAGCCAUUUUGAGUAAAGCUUCCAUCUUCAAUAGGGGUCAAAUAACGUUUGGGUUCCCAGGACCUCCUUAGGUAGCUGGUUGUUGGUGUUUUGAGUUGUGUUGGAUCUAAAUGGACCCAUAACAUUUGGUGCGUUGGCCCGGAAUCCACUCACUCUACCCAGGUCCCUGAUUCAAGGCCUCCAGAGGUAAGCCUGUUUCUGGUUUUAUUUAGAGCACCACUGGUUGACUCAUUGAAGGAGGCUGGAGGUAGUACCACUUUCAGAGUCUAAGAGGACUGGGCACACCUAUCUCAUCUGCCUCCUGGGCCUCUCCAUAGGGCAUCUGGUAUGGUCUCUGCUGGUGGGACAUCUGGUUCUCCUCCAUCUCCUCCCCCAGUGUAUUGGUUAUCCUUGGCAGGUGGGUUUGUCCAAGUCUGUCAGUUUGUAUCUGUAGGUUGAUUCAUUUCACUGUUGUUGCUUUCUGUUUUAUAUUCAAGGAAAUGGGCCAAACUUCAUCUGCUGUCCACCCCUUGGUUUAGUCUUAACUCAUUCCAUGCUGUCACUACCACAGAGAGACCAGAACAGUGAACCAAUGCUGUUGCAGGAUGCAGUGCUUGGGCUAGUGGGCAGCUUUCUCCAGUAGGGAAGCCAGCAGCUAGUCCCACUACAGAUCUGCUGUACCCAUGAGAAUCGGAUUAAGCAAGUAGCUAGCUACCCCUCCUUUAAAAUUACAGCUGGGAGAGAUCAGGAAAGUUUUGUCUGUCUGUUUUAAAUCUGUAAAUGCUUGCCUAGCAAGCGCAAGGCCCUGGGUUUGGUCCCCAGCUCCGAAAAAUAGAAAAGAAAAAAACAAAACAAAACUGUAAAUGCUGUGGCCACUACAUGUUUGCUUCUGACUGGUCUUAAAUAAGUGAGUUUA
This 1201-nucleotide small RNA is filed under the name Rattus norvegicus (Norway rat). Its description in RNAcentral is "uncharacterized LOC108348449". The record is from RNAcentral. Lineage: Eukaryota; Metazoa; Chordata; Mammalia; Rodentia; Muridae.